CCAACGAUCCUAGUUUGAUCUUCAUCCUAGGUAUUUAAAGCCUAAAAUCCCCCAAAAUUUGCCCCAUUUCCCCCUUAUUUCCUCUCUCUUCUUUCCCUCUCCUUCUUCUCUUUUCUCUGUCUCUUCACUCUCUCUACGCCGCCCCAGCUCCGCCUAUCGCCGCCUGCCGAAAAUUGCCGCCGCCGGCGGACCACCUCCAAACACCUCCAAAUUCACGCCACGUAAUCUCCACAACUUCCUCUUUCCAUAUCUCCAAACCAAAUCCUAAAAAAAUCCCUCAAACUCCUUGAAUCUUAGAUCUAGGAAACUUUCCCGUCACUUUUUUGCCCAAAUUCUUGAAGCCCCAACCACUACCACCCCAAAAUACCUAUAUCAAUGGAUAAAUCUCCUCAAGACCUAGCUAUUGAUGUCAAUUCUACCCCAAAAAUCUGGCGACCAAAAUCCGGCCUAAUUCCGGCGACCUCCUGGAACACCCUCUUUGGCAUACCACCAUUUUUCGGCCUUUUGAUGUGUAAAAUGAUGUUUUCACAUUAACAAGAAGAACUCAUCUUGAUUGUUGGGAGCAUGUCCAUUUAAAUAAAUGAGUGCUUAGCUAAAUUUCUUUAUUGUUUAAAUAUAUCUUGUUGUAGUUCAUAUGUAAAAUAAAUCCUUGGUUGAUCAAACACUUUUUUAUUCA
Nicotiana tabacum (common tobacco) is the source of this 676-nucleotide non-coding RNA. NCBI's taxonomy places the organism in Eukaryota, Viridiplantae, Streptophyta, Magnoliopsida, Solanales, Solanaceae. The record is from RefSeq and is a predicted model, not a curated record.